Molecule: long non-coding RNA, 17191 nt
Organism: Bacillus rossius redtenbacheri
Lineage: Eukaryota; Metazoa; Arthropoda; Insecta; Phasmatodea; Bacillidae
Exons: 3
Source: RefSeq, a predicted model, not a curated record
UUGCGUUCUACGUUAUUUGGAAAUAAAAGAGUUUAUUAAAUUACCUUUGUUUAUUUCUGUCAAAAAAAAAAUUUUUUCUCAUCGUUACAUGGCCUCAGUACACAAUUUUACAAAUGAAUUUAGUCAGACAACUUCGUUACUUGCACAGUUUUUUGUGUUUUCUUAUACAAAUUUUUACGAUGUCUUUGAAUUUUGAUAGGAUGAGGUCCAAAUACAUACCACAACACCAUACAUCUUGCCGUUGACGGUCGAGGAGUCUUGUCACUAGCCAAAAAAAAUAUAUACUUUAGUAAUGUCCAUUGGUUAACUACAUAACUCAAGGUACCGUCGAUCGCGGAUCGUAAUCACACGAAGUUGGGCCGAUGCCGACGCCUAGGGCUUAAAUUUCUAAUUAAUUAUCCAAAAAAAAAAAGAACUCAAGUUAAAAAAAUACGGUCUGGCCCCAGCCCCUAGGCGUUAAAUUGUCCCUUAGUGACUUUCCAUUCUGUGUCGUGACAUGCCGACGACGCGACCGAGUUCGGCGACGAUCGAGCAACAAGUGACUUGGUCGACGAGAUUACCUUCCCUUGUAAAGGUGAAAACAAGAGAGGAAACCCCGUGGGCCAACUUACCAAUCAGAGUACAGAAUUCAGAAACAUGACCAUAUAUUGUAAGGAAAUUCGGACAUGCGCAUCACUCCAUGACAGGGCUCGCCCUGAUUGGCUGGCUAGUGGUAGCCUCCAGAGACCCUUCCAGACGGUCGCUACAGCUGUGCGUCCAUGUGACGCGUAAAUCCCAAACUCGCAUUUACAAGGUGAAAAAUUACUUUCUGGCGCCAGGGUGUCGCGCCUGUCCGCUCUUCCUUCUGUACCUUUCAGACUAUUCUCGAAAUAUUACACUAGCAAUAUCCAAUAGAAUUUAAAAUUACCCAACAAAUUUAAAUACAAUGUUUAAAAUUUAGUAAUCAAAGUUGAAAUUCAUACCGUAUUACAAAUUUUAGUUUAAAAUGAUGUCUUGUAAAAUUAUAGUCUACACUGCUUUAAACAAAACAAUUACUGAAAUUAAUUAUCAAAUAUCAGAAUUAAUUAUUAUGAACUGACAUUUACCCUUAAAUUAAUAAUUAAGUAUCUCAAGGAAAUAAGUAUUUUAAGGCUUUCCGUGAAAUUUAACCAAAGUAAUUAAUAACAAUUCUUAACAGAUCCGAACAAUUAUCCUUAUCUACAUAUUAAAUAAUUAUUAUCCUUCAUAUCAAAGUUAUUCUUAAUCAAUAUUCUUAUGACCCAAAAAAAUAUAUGUAUAUAAUAAAUUCUCAUUGUGCAAUGCUACAAGCUGCGCUCUUGCUGCAUUGUUAGUUGCCUGUCUACCAAUGUUAGGUAAGACAUUAGUGACCCUUUCUUGCCAUUCUCGUUCAUCAGCAAGUGCAUGCUGUUCUUCUUCGUUACGAAUGAACACUCGAGGCAUAUACCUGCACAGAGAAAACAAUCUUGCUUAGAAUUAUUUGAAAUAAUUUUUGCAACAAUUAAUUUUUCGAAAGAAGGUAUCAUGGAAUACAUUAGCUUAUUUUUCAGUUAUACUAACCUCUCUGGGUUUGUCUUCAUAAUGAAGUUAUGGAGUACUGUGGUUGCUUGUACUAUCUUGGUCACAGUGCACACAGACCCUCGAAUGGCUUGAUUGUAAAUUUUCCAACGACUAGUUAAGAUUCCGAAUGCAUUUUCCACCAUUCUGCGGGCCCUACUCAGACGAUAAUUGAAUAUUUUUUCAGAUAUGGUUUUAAUAUCACUUCCUUGAGAGGAAAUGCAGCAUCAGCUACAAAUGCAAACGGAAGUGAAACAUUAGUACCUGGCAAUGCUUGGGGCUGUGGGAAAUCAAUACCAUUUUGCAGGACUAAUUUUCCAAAUGUUAAAUUGGCAAAUAUACUACCAUCACUGUGGUGUCCGUAGUCCCCAAUGUCAACCCAUAUAAAUUCAUAGUUGGCAUUAACUGCUGCCAUGAGAACAAUUGAAAAGUACUUUUUGUAAUUAAAGUACAGGGACCCGGAUUUCGGUGGUGCAUGACAGCGCACAUGCUUUCCAUCAAUCGCCCCAAGACAAUUUGGAAAGUUCCAAUACUCCAAUCACUCUGUAAUGGCUCUGUCAUUACUUCUGGCCCUAAUACUGUCCAAAGAACAUUACAAACCUCCGGGAUUAUUUUUUGCACAGUUGAAACACCAACACGAAAGUCCCAUGCAAUAGACUGGCAAGUGCCACCAUGGGCCAGAUAUUUUAGUGUCAGUGCCAGCUUCAUGGGAGGAGACAAGGGCGUGUGCCUGGUGUUCUUUUUUGUCAAGGAAGGGGUUACUAAUUUUAGCAGCUUUUCAAACUGGCACCACUUCAUUCGCGUAAAUUUAAAAAACUGUUCGUGAUCUUCAUUACUAAGGUAUGUAAACAACUGUUGAAAACAACCUUUUUCCUGACGACAUUUGUUUAGAGGACGCACCCACCACCGACACCGUCGUUCAUUACGAACAUUUUGAUCAAUAUAGCACGAAAUUAUUUCCAACAAAUGUAAACAAUGUAGAAGUGAAUCGAGUAUCAAAUUCUUUCCUUUUCAUCCAUCCUCACAUAGCGGGCGCAACAAAUAAACACAUAUAUCAGCUGUUUUCCUCUGACAAGGCUACCAAUACAUGUACACAAUUUUUCAUUCGCUGCACUUCCUUUAAUUUUUGUAAAUAUUUUGUAUAAACUUCCGAUUUCUCUGUGCGUGUGUUUUAAUUGUAGGUUGAAGUUCUGUGCUGUGCGUGUGCCCUGUGUGAGUGCAUGUGCUAUUUUCUGUGCUAAAUCAUUUGUAGGCUAGCCUUAAGCUUUACUCGUCUAAUUUUGGCGUUUACCUAAAAAUGGCAGCACAAUAAUUAUGUUAAUCUUCGAGCAUACAUUUGCGAUAAAAACCACUCACGAAAAUAACCUUAAUUUUUAAAAUUAAAAAAAGAAUAACGACAUUUAUUAGUGAAAUUAUAAUAUUUAAUGUUUAUUUUCAAUUAAAUAAAGAAUGUGAUAGAAAAAAAAGUACUGUUUGACAUUGUACACCCUCGCCCUGGUUUAAGGGCUGGUUUUAUGACCCCCGGCUAAAAUUUAACCGCAGGCUAGCUCUUAUUUUGGUUUUAUGACUCCCUGUUAACUUCUACCUUCCAAUUAAAGUCCCGGCUAAACUAGCGGUGGAUGAACCGGCCGCUAGCUGCUUAGCCGGAGGCUAAGCGACAGAAAAUAAAAUGGCAAUGUAUCAGGCGAGGUUAGUUGUUGAUAGUGAUGAUGACUAUUUGAGGAAUUCUAUUGAAUAUUUGCAGGAUGCGGUGGAAUAAUUUAUUACUAAAUAUAAAAUGCUUCACCGUAUUCGUCAAAGUUUUAUUAAAAAUUACAUGAAAGUGUAGUCACGCUUUUCGAUUCUCAUCGAGUCGUAUAUUAUUAUUUGACUUUAAUUGAUCACGAAGUACAUAAACUUAAAUGUUCCUGCUUAAGAAUAUGUGUAAAUUAGUGCAUUUUAAAAUUGCAAAACGAGGGUUAUUAUUACCUAUAAAAUGUGUGUUUUUGUGAAAGUUGUAUCUGUGAAUUUUUAUUCGUAAUACAGUGGACAUAUGCCGGGAAUUAAAUGCACUUCAUACGACUUCAGACGUGGUUCUAAUUCAAUGAAUACAAUUGAAUGUGAAAAUAAAUGUUACCCAAUUAUCCCUUCCCUAUCUUACAAACUUUUAGGUACUUAUUAUCUGCCUGCCACGCAAGCGCAAAACGAAAACAGCACUGGAAUUAUUCUGUUUCCCAUAUCCAAGUUUAUCCCUUGAUCCUAUCGGAAUGACCCUUUAUAUCGAUGGCUAAGGGCCGGUUUCACCAAGCAGGUUUAAUUUUAUUACAAAACGAGAUUUCCAAAACUCGAUUUAUAAAUGCCUUCCACAUAAAAACACCCAUUACCUUGCGAAUAUACCCGAAUAUCUGUCGGAGAUACCCGAAUAUGUAUUUUUUUUUCCUCUUGUAGAUUUAGCUUUUGGCCGAGCGUAAUUUAUGGUGGCCGCAUCAACCUAAAAAAAACUUGUUUUUAUUUUUUUGAAAAAUUAGUAAUACCAUGGAAAUUGUCAAAUCGCAUAUAAACAUGAUUAGCAAUGGUGCAGUUUCAGCUGCAAUUAAAGAAAAGCGACAAAGAAGUCAAAAUUUUUUGCCACAUAAGAAGACAGUUUUGUUAGAUCAGGUAACGGAACACUUCUCUGUGAUUAAAAAUCGUCGUACAGAUGCUGUCACACAAUAGCAGAAGGCGAAAUAAUGGGAGAUUAUUGCGGCCAAUCUCAAUUUGAUUUGCAAUCAAUACCACCGAAUGCCAGACCAGCUGAAAUCGUCGUGGGAGAACAUGAAGAAACUGACGAGAAAGAUACAUGCCGACAACCGAAUUGAAACGUUAUGCACAGGUAAGGUAUUUUAUGGCAUUCAUGCUGAUUGUUUUGGUUGCAGUGGCCUUUUUUUUUGGCUAGAUUUUUGUGUGUAACAUGCUGUAACUUGCUACAUCAUACAUGUAGUUUGUAUAUAUAACAAAAUAUAUCGAAACUUUUUAAACUGGUUCAUCCAUUGCUGUUGCAUGGAACCCCUUCCCCCUCAAAACACACUUCUAUAGGCUUUGUGUUGGUUGCAUAGGUCGAUUCCGUCUUGUCAUAACCUACAUUUUGGUAUUAUUUAACUUUGGGAUACCAUCGACUGACCUACGGAUAUGUAACUAUGAAUUGCAAAUUGCUUUGCUCUUGUCAGAGUAUCCUAGCCUAAUGCAACCUAUAUUUGACUGUAGACGGCCAUCAUUUGCUAUUUGUGUUUAGUGGAUAUUUGAGUAAUAUACUAAUCUUUGUAUUAGGCUCACGGUUAAAGUAUUUAUUUUGUUUUUUCUAAUCUAUAAAGCUCAUAAUGUUUUUUCAAGUUCAGCAAGUACAAGUCAUCUUUCUCGUACACGAAAGUGAAAUAUUUCUAGCCCACUUCUACUUGUAGCAAACUUGUAUUGCGAGCAUUGCUGAACUAGUGACUAGUAUAUAAUAUGUCUACUAGUGACAUUAGAAAGCUUAAAUCUUUUAUGUUUUCUUUGUAUGGGAAAUGUAAAUCUUUGACGUUUAAUCUAUUAGCAUUCAAAAACUUUAAAUAAAAAUUUAAAAUUUGUACCUUUUUCACUAACUACAACUGUAUGUAUGCAUCACAAUUAUUGUAGUUAUUCGGGUUAGCAUAAUGCAGUACCUUAGUUGACUAUCUUGUACAGACUAUGAUGAGAGCAUAUGAUGUCAUGUAGGCGUAUUCUUUAUCAUUAGUGAGUUUACUAUUUUUUUAUUUUAUAUUUUUUUUCAGGUGGAGGCCCACCAAAAAAAACAAAAAAACAAUAUUAAAGAUGAUCCACUGUUUGUUCGAAUUUAUGAGCUGAUUAGGCCCACAGUGGAAGGCAUUUGAUACAGGUUCGAUUGCAGCACAUCUGGACAUGUCUUCAGCUGGAAACACUGUGCAUGCAGACUGUGGACAAGAAUCACAAAUAGAAACAUGCUCGAAAAAUGAAGACAUUGGAACUGUUGUUGAUGUUACUUAUGUGGAGUCAAGCGAAGAUGCUCUCCUCAAUGGAAACUGGACACAUUAUUCGCCAGCCAUGCUGAGGAAAACAAAGUUCUCGCUACUGAGGACUCCAGUGAGCACUCCUAAAAGAACGCUGGAGGAACCAAUGCCACAAACAGUGUGUCCAAUGGGAAACGACAAAGCUGAAGAUGAACCAGCUGCAGUGCCCUAUAGAAAUGAAAAUGUUAGUGUAAAUUCUGUACCUGUCAGUGGAACAUCUGUACAUACCCCUGCUUCAUCUUGGACAAGCAGACCUCGUCCAUCCUUGCAUACGCAGAAGAUUGGGGAUAUAAGUGACCUUCAUGCCGCUAAAAUAGAACUCAUUGAGGUGACAAAAAAAACAUUCUGUAGAGGAAUCAAAAAUGCAAAAGGAAUGGUUUGACAUAAAAAUGUUACAGGAACAGGAAAUUUUGAAACAAGAGAAAUUGAAAACUGCCAUUUUAUCAUUCCAAGUGGUAGAAACCGCUCAUAAAAAUUUAACAGCCCCAAAAAAGACUGUAGCUCCUUCCUUGUUGUCGGUUUUGGGGCCCCAUGUAUUGCUCCCACUUUCUCGCUUGUCAGGUGUAUCCCUUGGCUGUCUACCAUGUACCCCAAGAACUUCACUGCUGUGGCUGCAAACAUGCAUUUUGAUUUGUUAAGACGUAAACCGGCUACCUCAAUUUUUCUUAGCACUUGAUGCACCCGUACCCAAUGUUGCUCUUCUGUUGCUCCUGUAAUCAAUAUGUCAUCCAAGAGCACCACUACACCUUGUAUCCUGGACAAUAAGGUUACCAUUAACCGCUGAAAUAUCGCCGGGGCAGCACAUAUUCCAAAAGGCAACCGUUUGACCUUGAACAGUCCUUUCAUCGUGUUCACCGUGAGACGUUCUGCCGUCACCUCAUCCACUGAAACUUGCAAAUAUGUUUCAGCUAGGUCUAACUUCGUGAAAAAUCUCCCACCUGCCAGGUUCGAGAAUGCCUCAUUUGUGGUUGGAAGGUGGUAAUAAUUUUUCUUGCAUACCGUAUUGACGGUACAUUUGUAGUCGCCGCAGAGUCGAACUGAUCAGUCUGUUUUCCGUACCAGCACUAAAGGCGUAGCCCAUGUUGAAUAUGUCACGGGUUCCAGUACCCCUCGUUCCACCAACCGGUCAAUCUCUUCACUGACCUUCUCUGCCAACGCAAAUCCCACUGGCCGGCUUUUACGAAAUAUUGGCUUCGCCCCUACCUCAAGCUCUAUGGUCACUGGUGGUCCGGUAUAACGUCCUAGCUCCAUAUCUCCAAAUACCCCUGGGUAUUCCUGGAUCACUCUUGUAACUUGUUCCUGAUGAAUAUAAUGGAUCCCCUUAACGUUAAUUCCUAAAGGCUCCAACCAGCUACGUCCUAGCAAGCUUGGACCUUCCCCCCUUGCCACCAACAGGAUGCUGUUUUCAUUUGCACUUGUACAUUCAUAUAUCCCAAAACUCCCAACCGUUCUUGCGACCAAGUAUGCAUUACCAUAUUUGCCGCUUGUAGCUCCGGUUGCUCUGGCCACAACUGUUUGUAUGUAUCACUGCUAAUAAUAGUGUGGCCAGCCCCCGUGUCGACUUCCAUCUCCAACUGACGCCCAUCUAACCACACGUCCACUUUGAUCGGUGGGCGGCUUUUCAAGGGGUUACUGUUAACAUUGUAUAAGCUGUAUGUUGCGGUGUCUUCAUCUGAUGACUGCUUGUCUCCAGUUACCCUGUAAUUGUCACUCUCGUUUGUGCUUUACCCUGAUGGCUAUUUAUUUUUGUUAUACAUGACCUUUCUAAAUGCCCUAACUUGGAGCAAAAAUUACACACAGUGCCCUGAUGUCUACAUGAGACCCAACACAUCUCCAGCAUGACGGCUGCCUUUCUGAUGGAUCACUCCUAGUUGGUGUCUUGACAAACUUUUUGUCUCCCGGCGUCUGUUUGUCUACUUUGAUACCACCCAUUGCACCAACCACUUCACUCCCCACUGCUCCCCGGAUAUCACGUUAAUUUCGACUUGCCGUCUCUGCCGCUAGCGCCAAGUCCACUGCCGCCUUGAAUGUGAGCUUGUCCUUAGAUAACAUCGCAUGUUGCACCGUUUUAUCGUGAACCCCGCACACUAGAAGAUCGCGUAGCAUCCUUUCGAGGUCGGUAAAAUUGCAGUGUGCCGCCAGCCGCCGCAAAGCCGCUACAUACUCGGCAAUAUUUUCACCUUGUUGGUCUCGCUUGUGAAACUUGGUCUAGGUUCGAAAUGUGUCGACAGUAAGUCCAAAAUCUCGGAUAUCGCCACCUCGCUCGUAGCCUUUGGAGACACCAGUGACGAAACUAGGUUAUAAAGUUCCGUGCCACACACCGUGAAAAAUAUAGCCUUCUGCUCUUCUUUGUCAGUGACCUUGUUGGCCACCAGGUAAUAGUUCCACCGUUCUGCAUACGUCUUCCAGGCAUCUUUCCCUGGCACAAACUCUCCAAAUGAGCUAAAACGCGCCAUCGGUGUUUACUGUUUACUGUAUUACCAUUCACGCCACCAGCCGGCAACACAUGCACGAAUGGAUCCCAUCCUCGUCGCCACUUUUGUGUACUCUUUAUUUCAUACCGUUACAUACAAUUAGUUACUUAUCAGUCCAUAUAUUUCUCUACAACUCGUGCACGCAAACCUCCAUUACUAACUACAACAACAUCAUUGCCACCAACCUGCCCCGCGGCCCACAAUACACAACAAAAAUAUAGCAGCCAUGUGGAAAUGUCCUGUUUGCAGGUGGCCGAUAAAUUUAACUUUGUGGGAGUUUGAUGAAGUGUUAAUUUAUUGUGAAUGAACUAUAUGGUGAUUUCAAAAUAAAAAUUAGCAAUUGUGAAUAGUAAAUGGAUUACGAACUUAAUAUUUGUUAAUGAAUGGUAAAUGUGUAAUUUGUUAACCUUACAAUUGUUCCUGACAUAAAAUAUUACUUUUGGUAAGUACAGACAACAACUCUAUAUGUUGAAACUAACAGGCCUACAAUGUAACAUUUCAAAAGUAACACAAAAUCCAGAACAUCGUAACAUGAAUGGUAAUAUUUAGGAUACCUUUUGAAGUAGUUGUCAAUCAAAGUACGCCUCUUAGCAUCAUUUCUUGCAUGUCUUGCAUUGUUGUUGACAUUUUGUGCAUCAUUCCCUUAUUCUAAUAAUUCAUCCCACGGUUUGGGUAAAUUAACAUCAGGUCAUCUGGUGGUAAAUCUUCCCCAGCUUGCCGCAAGAGAUUAUGUAUUACAGCUGUUGCCACUAUUAUGGGAAAUGUGUUUUCCAGUUGUAUUUGAAAACCCAAUGCUAAAACGGGGAACCUUCGUUUCCAACACCCAAACAACCUCUCCACAGGAUUUCGUGUUCUAAUCUGAGAUUCGUUGUACAGAUGUUCCUGUGGACUAUCUGGGCUCUCAAGUUGGGUCAUCAUGUAUGAUUUGCAGACAUAUCCUGAAUUUACGAGCAAUACACAAUCAUUGUAUCUGCCAUUUUCAAACAUAGCCUUCCUGUAGCAAUUGCUGAAAAUUGUGCUAUCAUGUGUUGAGCCAGGCCAUCUUGCAACAAUGUCUGUAAACUGAAGUUUUGCGUCGCAUAUUGCUUGAACAUUCAAGGAGAAGUAGCCUUUCCUGUUUCGAAACAUUUCUGCAUUGUCUCCUGCAACGCAGAUAAUUAGGCUAUCAUUACUAUUCAUUAAUGUUGACAUGACAUUUUUUGCUAAAUAACAUAUUUGAUGUAAAAUCAGCUGCACUCAAUCCUUUAACCGACUCAGAUGAAAGUAACUUUGCACAGAAUUUUGUGUGUUUCAUAAUUCAAGUUUGUCGAAUAUGCAUAUUAUGUGUUCUUGCCUACUUGAGUAUUACGAAGAGGUGAAUGUUGAAUGGUACCUAUACGGUGUUUACAUAAAAGUUUGUGUAUGCAUUUUGGUGUGUAAAAUAAUUAUAUUAUAUAUUCUUAUACUCUAUUGUAUUGUAUUCUUGAUGUCUGCAUGUACAUGUGACUUGUUCUAUAUUCCGGAGCACUCGCCUCCAUAUGGGAUCCACAGAUCCAAAGAUAAAUAAAUUAUUAUUAUUAAUAAACUUACCUGGGGUCUGUAAUCACACAUGAGUGCAAUCCAUUGCACUAAUUACUUCGGGAAAGUGUGCAAUAUUAUAGAAGUCCAUCUGAGCAAUGUGAACUUCUUGUGGUGUUUCUGGAAAAUGUAUGAAGUUUGGACGAAGCGAAGCUACAGCACAGCUAACUCUGUGGAUAAUUCUGUGUGCUGUGCUUUUGCUGAAACCAGGAUAAUCUCCAGUACUUAGCUGAUGGCAGCCUGUUGCGUAGUAUCUCAAUGUAGCUAGCAACUGCUGCAUAGGUGAUACAGACAUGUUACUAAAGAGCAAAUGACCACAACCUAUUGCUUCAACUGUAGUUAUUCAUAUUCCAAGUUUUUACAACAAAAAAAAGAAUGUAGGAAAUAUUUUUAAUGCUAAGUUACAUCUAGUAAGGGUAAUGUAGAACAAGGAGGCCAAACAUCUGUAUUAAAUAAUAACUAAAGCCAGCAAAGUGAAGCUAGAAAGUACAGUGUAGGAUAAAACAAGUGUUGAGUUUCAUCAGUCAACAACAGCUAGAGCAUAGGUAAAGCCCACAGACCUUGGCCAACAUAAUUUUUCAAAUAUACAUAGUAAAUUUCAACAGUGGCAGUUUGUAAUAUAAGCCUAUAAAAUACUUUUACUGCACGUUAUUAACACACCAUUAUCAAAACCAUUUCUAAAGAUUAAAAUGAAUGUAACCAAACUUUUUUUUGGUUAGGUUAGGUCUACAUAAAAGGGAAUAGACAUAUAAUGGUUUGAUGUAAUUUUUUCUAACCCUACCUGUCAGAUGGAUAUUCCAUAUGAGCCUCAAUCAUUUCCAGAAGUCUAUGUGCAGACUGUUUCGACAGACGGAAAUGGGUUCUGAAGUCCACUUCAUCAUAGCUUUCAAAAUAAUUACUCCUUUCGCGAAUUGUACGAGGUCGAUGCAAGGGAAUAAAAUCAUCUCCAUCCGAAUCUUCUUCGAAUAUAACAUUGUAAGCUGCUCAAGCCAUUUGUUUACAUACGUUAAGCGUGAUUAGCUGUGCAAACUGGAUGAACUUGGCCAGUUAAUAUAAAAUCUCGCUUUACUCUGGAAAAUCGAGAUUACGCAUGUGGUGAAACGCACAAUCGACUAAACGAGUUUAUAUUGAAACUAAUCGAGAUUAAUUUCCUUAAACUACGUUGGUGAAACCGGCCCUAAGAGCACAAAGGUUGUAUGUCCAAAAAUUUCAAAAUUGAGUUAUGGGUACUGACUGAUUCUCCUUGGUGUACACUUUCUUCUGGACAAAGGUGUUAUGUCCUUUCUUCAACGUAGUGCUUAAAAUUUCUUUUUUUCACUUGCAGUAUGUCCAGUGUAUUACCAAACAUUACGAGGACAAUGGUGGAUGUCCCACAUACUACCUUUUCAUUUAUAAUGAAGGAGUUGUUUACGAGCACAAAAGUAGUACGUACAGUGUGUAAGUUUUUCUGUGUACAAAAGUAGUAUGUCCGAUAUGUAAUACCUUUGUGCUGGAAAGAAUCCAACUGUGUCCAAGGAUGUUAUAUGUCCACUAAUACUACCUUUGUGCUGAAAAUAAAGCAACUGUGUCCGACGCUGCUGUAGACAAAUGUUAUGUCUUCUAAUAAUAUUAUAACCUUUGUGUUCGCAAAACCGGGCAUUGUUUUCUUUUUAUGUAAUUCAUGAAAAUCAUUUUCUUUUUUUAUUAUAAUAAUAUUCUUAACCAAUUAUAGUGAAAUAAUAAAUAAUAUUUCUUGCAGGGAAAAAAAUGUUUUGUUUGACUGUAACUCUUCAUUGGUAUUCCUUCUUCUAUGGAAUAAGCUAACAUUUAUUUGCAUGUGGUGUUUACUCGUGUUGUCUCUUUACUUUCAUAUUCCUGCAGUAGUGAAGUGAUAAUAAAAUGUCUAGAAGUAAAAAGAUGUUGGAAUGGUGUCGUGUGAAUUUAAAGGAAUUAAAUGAAAACCAAAAUACAACAGAAAAUAAUGACACUGUUCAUAAUAUUCCAGGUGAGAAUAAUUUACACAAUAGAAACUAGUAGCGUUGUCUUUGUAGAGGUUAAAUCUUAUUUUCCAAGGCACUGGAAUAUAAAUCCGAAUGAUUCUUGACAACGGGUCUAUGUUAAUUAUUACUUACCUACAUUAUUAAUUAAAAAUAAUAAUCUAAAAUUAAAAAUUGAAAAUUUACAACACUAUUAAGUUUCUGUUUCCUCAUUGUUAUGAAUCAUAGAAUGAUAUUCUCUCCUUAUAAAAUCCUAAUCCUAAUUAAUAACUUAAUUAUACCUUACCAGUUUUUUUUAUAUAUAAUUAUAGUCUUAAAAUUAUUUGAACUUUUCGUGCAAAUUAGUAUACAUUCGAUUUUAGGCUGUUCAUGGCAAGUUCAGCAAAUCUUUACCCGCCCAUCUUAGCAAUUAAACAUUGUUAGACCUUUUUAAGCUUAUUAUUUAAGAACCAAAAUAUAUGCUUUCUAAUUAUUACUUCCAAAACUGCUUAUCUAAAGAUAACACGAAAUGUUCAUUGGUGUUCAGAAAAGUCAUGCAUUUUUUGUCUCUUUUUUUUCUAGAACCUGCAUUGCAUUUUGUGGCAAAAUAAAAUUUUUGCAUCUUGGAUGAAGCAGUUCUUGAGGAGGGAGAAUUCAUAGUUGUGAACACCGCAGAUAAAGGUGGUGCUGUCCUUGUCAAACAGCAGGAGCUAUGCGUGCUUCACAAGCUUUAAAAAGGUUUGAGGUGGAAGUGAGUGAAACUGAACUAAAUUAUGGUGGCGAAGGGCAGGCAAAUCAGGAAGAGCAGGAAGAAGAUGACAACAGAGAUAUCAGUACAGCAGAUCUUGCAGAAGUAAUGCCAGUUAAGGAGUCUGCUAAUAUACUAAAUGGCAAACAUGACCCUUCCUUAGAUGCAGUUUCUGAAUGACCUAAAUAUUGCAGAAAGCGGAAGGGAGAACCAGCAACUUGGAAGGCGAACACACGGAAAAAAAUGUGCAUGUCUGGAAAGUCAUACGUUGAUAGGAACGGAAAGGUUGUGCCAGAAAAACAGCUUCCAGAUUUAAUAUGCAAGUGCAGAUUUAAAUGUUCUGACCACAUCCCUAGUGAAAAACAGCAAACUCUUUUCUCAGAGUAUUGGGCUUUGGAAGAUACUGUCCUUCAGAAAGCUUAUAUUACUUCCCUGGUAGAAGAAAGAAAUGUAGAGCAGUAGUAGACGUAGAAGUAGACGAAGGGAUGUAAUAAGACCAAAGGAAAAGUCUCACUUUUACUACCUCAGAAACAACGAACUACAGAAAGUAAGAGUAAGUUUGAAAUUCUUUUGUUGCAUUUUCCAAAUAAGUUUUAAAGUAGUAAACCAUGAUUUAGCCAAUAAAAAUGCAAGUGGAGCAUUUUCUGGGAAAGAUGGCAGAAAAGGAAGGAAAGCUGUUAAUAGAACAUCAGAGGAAAAUGUUCUUCAUGUAAAGAAGCAUAUAAAUAGUUUCCCUCGCCUAGAAUCACAUUAUUGUCGGGGUGAUUCUAAAAGGCUUUACCUGUCCCCAGAACUAAGUUUUGCUGAGCUCUAUAGACUUUACUGUACAAAUUACUGUCCAAACGAAAACAUAAUACCUGUUAAGAAAAAUGUAUUUCGGUGAAUCUUUCAUUCUUAUGACCCACAAUUAUCAACAUAUGUGCCCAAAAAAGACAGAUGUACUACAUGUAAAAUUUAUUAUGAGGCUUCAGAUAAGACCAAAAUGGCAGAAAAGUGGAUAAUCCAUGACAGAAGGAAAAAAAAAAGCCUUGUCAAUGAAGGAAAGAAAAGGACUGCAACAUUUGACCUUCAAGCGACUCUCUACAUUCCCCAUGCCGGAGACUGUCAGAUUUACUACAGUAGGAAAUUGUUGAUUUUUAAUUUCAUAAUAUUUGACUCAAAUGAUGAUGGUUACUGCUAUGUCUGGGACGAAACUGAAGAGAAAAAAGGGUCCUCAGAAAUUUGGUCCUGUAUUUUGAACUACCUGCAGAUGCUGCCUGAUUCUGUUGACCAUGUGACUUUUUAUUCGGACACAGCUGGUGGACAGAAUCGCAACCAGUUCAUCACAGCAGCCAUGACCACCUCAAGAUAUGUGACAUGAAAUAUUUGGAGUCAGGUCAUUCUUAUCUUGAAGUUGACUCCAUGCAUGCCACAAUUGAGCGUGCCUGGAAGUACAUUAACAUCUAUUCACCCAGAGAAUAUCAAGUUGUAAUGGAAAUGGCCAGAAAAAAAAAGAAGUCCAUACAAAGUAAAAAAUAUGAGUUUCAAAGAUGUAAAAGAUAUGAAGAAUCUAGGAAUGAGGGUUCUAUCAAACACCAAAGAAGAUACCAACGGGAACAAGAUAUAGUGGCUUCGGUUUCAGAAAGAACUUUCAUACUCUGUCCAGUUCAAGUACAAUCUGAGUGAUGAGACCUUCUUAGAGUUUUCUGUUCUUGGGCGUAGGGCAAAGAAAUUUAAAUGGAGCACCAUCACUCUGAGUUCUGAGUACAGUAAGAGGAUACCCAUAUCAGUCCAGAAAAAGCAAGAUCUGUUAAAACUGCUGGAUAAAGGUGUCAUUCCAGAAACAUACGCUGCUUGGUUCAAAGCUCUUCCUUGUGAAAAGGGGAGAAAAGAUGGUGUUCCCUACAACACUAGAGAAAGUGAAUCUGAAGAAGUAUGAACACAACAAAAGACGUAAACAAGAAAAUAGAAGGAAUUUUGUUUUCAGACAGGUGAUGAAAUUUAAUUUUUUUUGUGUAGAUGAGUUUCACAAGCAAUUUCAUUGCAAAUUUCCCCUUAAGUUUAUAUAUUAUGAACUGCAUAGUGAACAAGAGGCAAAAUAAAUAUAAUUAGUUCUCUUUAUGUGAAUUGAAUUCUUCACUGAUGUGUUUUGUAUUAUUAUAACCAUUUUUAUAUUGUAUUUCAUUAGAAUUCUGAAUUGUAGAAAUUAGUUCAACAUAAACAAUUUUGUAAGGAAUAGUUUUGAAGGGACACUAUCAUUCUGUACAAAGGUUUUAUGUCCCACCAUCACAUAAUAAAGACCUUAUUUAAAAAUAAUUUGUAGGGAACUUAGUGAGUCACUGACAAUGUAAACAGUACAUGGAUACUGUCAGAUCUAUGCUAAAACUAAAUGAAUUCAACAUACUGUAUAUAUAAUUCACAACAACAGUAAAGUAAAACUCUUUAGGUGACUUGUCACAAAACAUUCUUUUGCUGUUUCUUCCAUUGUUCUGUUUUUGGACAUAUAACCUUUGUGCUCUUAGCCAUCAAUAUGUUGGUCUUGUUUUACAUUAUACUUGCUGUUUUAAUUUAGAAUGUUGAAAAAUCCUGUACAUAACACAAAAUACCUAACAUAUCACGAUACAAACAAAUUAUGUCAUGUCUUAUAAAAAUGUAUUUCUUUCGUAUACAUUUUACAAUCAUAAUUAUUUACCCAGUGAAUAUGUCUAGGAUCUCUCGACCUACUAAAUUAAAACAGCAAGCAUCCUAUACCACAAACUAAUUCCAUCAGGAUCGGAUUAAUUUGGAUACGUGAUACGAAACUAUUAGUACAAAAAUGAAACCUACACCAGUGAAAUGAAAAUCGACAAGUUUUUUUUGCGAAACAGGGUCUAUAUUAUUUGAUUAUGAAAUAAAUUUAUGAAAGAAAUAAGUGUUCUCUAGCAAAAAUGUCUUAUCCCUAUUUAUUUGUUUGUAUAAAAUUACUUCGUUAGUUUUGGCUUAAUAUAUAUCCUAACAAAAUCAUGAGUUAAAAUACAAGAGUAAAGUUGAAAACACGCAGGUUUGACGUCAAAGUAGUUUUUGGUUAAUUUAAGUAUAUCUGUUGCAAGAUAAAGCUCGCGGCAUAUUUCUUUACUGCAGCUGUAACCAUUACGAUUCACAAUACAAACAAACAGCUGACUAACAUUCUACCAGGAAAAAAAACUCGCAAAUAAAGUUACCAAAUUCUGGUUUAUUUUAUUACCAACACAGCCAUUAUUACAACACAGGCUUCAUCCGGUUCCGGUGAGCCAACUUCAGGCUAAGUAUGGGACAUAAUAUACCCCUCGUUCGUUAACCUGAGGGCUAGCUAACCUUUAGAUUUAGCCGGGGGUCGUAAAACCGACCCUAAGAAGAGGAGGUCUGGAAACAAGCAUCGUGAAAACAUGGCCUAAGUAUUGUUACGAUCGCGCUUGGCUGCAGUGCUUGGCAUCGCUGUGCUCGUUCGGCCUGUCUGCGCGCCCCUUCCACCCGCAUCCUCUCCCUGGUAUCUCAUGUCAUACUGUCUCGCAACAUCCUGACCGUCGCAGCGCGCACCUGCCUCAGAUCGAGUUACUUAAAAGAGGCCGCACUGCAGAAUAAAAGGACUUAGACAUGUUUAUCGGCGCGUUUUGUGGGAACCCGAUGCUUGUUGAGUUUAUCGGCGUUCUUUGAGCAGCCGCCGCGUCCUUCGAGGACUCACGAGGCGUUUCUGGGCAUUUCGACGGCGAAGGUCGCGCGAUAUCUCGGAGACAUGCCCGAUUGUUCUGGACGGGAACCCAAGGGCUAUAUAAGGAGGUUGGGCCGACCUUCAGGAGGAGUUCAGUGGGGAGUUCUCCCGCAGCGGAGUUUCCGGGCGAUAGUGCCGCGGGUGCGGCAGAGUGGCGAAGUCCUUGGACGAAGGUUCCAGGGCAGAGAGUCUGAGUGAGUGAGUGGAGUCGGGAGUUCUCCUGCAGCGGAGUUUCCGGGCGAUAGUGCCGCGGGUGCGGCAGAGUGGCGAAGUCCUUGGACGAAGGUUCCAGGGCAGGGAGAGUGAGUUCAGUGGAGUCGGGAGUUUCCGGGCGAUAGAGUCGCGGGCGCGGCGGAGUCCCGAGUGAAGUUGCGAGCGAGUCGUCGUGUGGGAUCUCGGCGAAAGGUGUGACGGCGGCGGCGACCCACGAGGGGUGCUGCGGCGAGAGUUGCGCCAGAGGUGCGGCCCAGCGAGGUGUGUGGAACGAGAGACUGGAGAAUAGACAUUUCUUUAAGUGUAGUUAAUUAUUUGCCAUCUUAGAAGAUUAAUUGUAAGUGACAAGUAGUGGUAAUAAAUAAAACUGUGUGUGUGAAAUAAAAUCUAUUAAUUGGGCUAUCCUUUACGAACCCGCAGGGAAAUCGUAACAUUUUGGUGUCAGAAGUGGGAUAGCCCUAAUUAAUAGUUUUAGGAUUCAGUUACAUUAUUAGAAUAAAAGUUGAGGAUAGAAUUUAGUUUUUGAGAAUAUAGUUAGUGUUUAGAACUUUAGUGAAUUUGGAUUUUUCUAGAGUUUGAGUAUACUGUAGUCAGUGUUAGUUUUGAAUGUAAUAGAGUUAUUGUUAGUUUAAUUAGAAGGUUCGGCUAGGUCAUUUAAAAUUAAGAUCAGUAUUAGAAAAAAAAUAUCUAGGUUGUUUAAUUAGUAAAUCCUUUAGAGAGAAAUGGCUGCUGAAGAGUUAAGUGUAGAAGAUAUCGGGAAGAUAAUGGUUGCCCUAGAAGAGAUCAAUAAUAAAAUGGAAAAAAUGGUGGCCAGUGUGAAGAAAUAUAACAAAGAAAUGUUAGCGAGUAUGAAGAACUUUACAGAAAAAAUGAAGAGUGAAAGGAAGGAGAGUAAGAACCACCAUGAAGAAAAGAAGAGUGAGUCAAAUAAUAGCCUAGAGGAAAUAAAGAAGGGUCAGGAGGAA